UUGAUCAUGGCUCAAAUUGAACGCUGGCGGAAUGCUUUACUUUUGCAAGUCGAACGGCAGCACGGGGGCAACCCUGGUGGCGAGUGGCGAACGGGUGAGUAAUACAUCGGAACGUGCCCAGUCGUGGGGGAUAACAUAGCGAAAGUUACGCUAAUACCGCAUACGAUCUACGGAUGAAAGCGGGGGACCGUAAGGCCUCCCGCGAUUGGAGCGGCCGAUGUCAAAUUAGGUAGUUGGUGAGGUAAAGGCUCACCAAGCCUGCGAUCUGUAGCUGGUCUGAAAGGACGACCAGCCACACUGGGACUGAAACACGGCCCAAACUCCUACGGGAGGCAGCAGUGGGGAAUUUUGGACAAUGGGCGCAAGCCUGAUCCAGCCAUUCCGCGUGCAGGACGAAGGCCCUCGGGUUGUAAACUGCUUUUGUACGGAACGAAAAGCCUAGGGCUAAUACCUCUGGGUCAUGACGGUACCGUAAGAAUAAGCACCGGCUAACUACGUG
This 499-nucleotide ribosomal RNA is filed under the name uncultured bacterium. RNAcentral describes it as "bacterial SSU rRNA". It matches the Rfam family "Bacterial small subunit ribosomal RNA", at positions 13 to 507 of the family's 1533-position model. The record is from RNAcentral.